RNAcentral lists this long non-coding RNA (1194 nucleotides) under Anser cygnoides (Swan goose). RNAcentral's name for it is "lncRNA (ENSACDG00005006771.1)". The record is from RNAcentral. Lineage: Eukaryota; Metazoa; Chordata; Aves; Anseriformes; Anatidae.
CAGGCGCCCCCUCCCCGGCCUCCCUGGUGGUGCUGCGGCGGCGGCAGAAGGUGGGUCCCUGGGUGGGGGGGUGUGACACACGUGGGGGGGGUCCAUUUGUGCCCCCCCCCCGCUCAGUGUCCCCUGCUGUCCCCAGGGCUGUCCCCAGUGGGAGGCGGUGGCCGCCCCCCGGCUGGAGGCGGGGGUCCGGGCCCACGUCCUGCGGGCGCUCAACGGGGGGGACCCGGCGCAGCUGCGGGGGCUGGGGCCCCGCCGGGGGGGGCGCGUCCACGCCUGGCGCCAGGAGCACGGCCCCUUCCGCACGGUCAGUGCCUGUCACCUCCCCGCUGUCACCCCCCUCCCCGCUGUCACCCCCCGUGUCUUCUUGUCACCUCCCCGGGUCACCUUGUGUCACCCUCGGUGUGUCACCUGUUGUCACCCUGUGCCACCCCCGGGUGUCCCCUGGUGUGCCCCGUGUCACGGUGUCACCUCACAGGGUCCCCACGCGUGUCCCACACCACCCCCAGAUGUCCUGUGUCACCCUGUGCCACUCCCAGGUGUCCCCUGCCAUGUCCCACGGCACUGUGUCACCUCCCAGUGUCCCCAUGCGUGUCCCAUGUCACCCUGUGCCACCCCUGGGUGUCCCCUGGUAUGCCCCAUGUCACCCUGUGCCACCCCUGGGUGUCCCCUGGCAUGCCCCGCGUCACCCCGUGCCAACCCACCGGGGCACCCAGUGUCCCUGCCACCCCCCCGCCCGGUGCUGUCCCCGGGUGCCCCUGUCCCCACGGGUGCCCCUGUCCCCGCAGGUGGAGGACCUGGCGGCGGUGCCCGGCUUCUCGGCGGCGCAGGUGGCCACGCUGCUGCAGGCCAAUGUCCCCGCUGCCCUGGGGACAGCCCCGUCGUUGUCCCCCGGACCCCAAUAAACAGCCGCGAACGCCGACCCCGCCUGGCUGCGUGCGCGUGGGGGCGGGGACAAGGGGAGGGGCUCCUGGAGGUGGCCCCAAGUUCAGUAGGUGGCCCUCAGCCACCAAGGUGUCCCCAAGCCGAGGAGGUGACCCCGAGCAACCAAGGUGUCCCCAGGCUGAGGAGGUGACCCCAAGGUUCCAAGGUGAUACAAAGGAGGUGAUCCCAAGCCAUCAAGGUGACCCCUCAGCCUUCAAGGGUCCCCAAACAAAGGUGAUCCUGAGUCACCAAAACCCAAAGCCAAGGAGGUGA